UGCAGACUCUUGAAAGGAUUGAAUUCAAAGGCAAUCAUGGGGAAUGGAUUGACUCAGUGAAACCAGAUUUGGAUCCUGCUCUAAUGGAGCAAUUAAAUGAGAAGUUGGAGAUAUCAGAUACAACGGUUGAAAACUUCAAGUCUGUUAGAAAUGAAACCCGUAUGGCUAUUAAUUCUCUUUUAAAGGAUGAUGGAGUUUUAGUCAUCCCCACCACGGUAGAUCCUCCUCCGAAACUAGGUGGAAAAGAGAUUUUUUCAGAAGAGUACCAGACUCGUGUAUUUAGUUCAUUGAGCAUUGCAAGCAUAUCGGGUUGCUGUCAGGUCACCUUGCCACUGGGAUUUCACGAUAAUUGUCCUCUAUCUGUGUCCUUCUUAGCCAGGCAUGGGGCAGAUCGCUUUUUA
This 401-nucleotide unclassified non-coding RNA is filed under the name Hevea brasiliensis (rubber tree). Lineage: Eukaryota; Viridiplantae; Streptophyta; Magnoliopsida; Malpighiales; Euphorbiaceae. The record is from RNAcentral.